RNAcentral lists this ribosomal RNA (460 nucleotides) under uncultured bacterium. Its description in RNAcentral is "partial 16S ribosomal RNA". It matches the Rfam family "Bacterial small subunit ribosomal RNA", at positions 338 to 795 of the family's 1533-position model. The record is from RNAcentral.
CCUACGGUAGGCAGCAGUGAGGAAUAUUGGUCAAUGGGCGCGAGCCUGAACCAGCCAAGUCGCGUGAGGGAAGACGGUCCUAUGGAUUGUAAACCUCUUUUGUCGGGGAGCAAAAGACGCCACGCGUGGCGUUCCGAGAGUACCCGAAGAAAAAGCAUCGGCUAACUCCGUGCCAGCAGCCGCGGUAAUACGUAGGAUGCGAGCGUUAUCCGGAUUUAUUGGGUUUCAAGGGUGCGUAGGCGGUCGGAUAAGUUAGAGGUGAAAUCCCGAGGCUAAACUUCGGAAUUGCCUCUGAUACUGUUCGGCUAGAGAGUAUGUGCGGUAGGCGGAAUGUAUGGUGUAGCGGUGAAAUGCGUAGAGAUCAUACAGAACACCGAUUGCGAAGGCGACCUGCUAGAACAUAACUGACGCUGAUGCGCGAAAGCGUGGGGAGCAAACAGGAUUAGAUACCCCAGUAGUC